Molecule: ribosomal RNA, 253 nt
Filed under: uncultured bacterium
Lineage: Bacteria
Description: partial 16S ribosomal RNA
Rfam family: Bacterial small subunit ribosomal RNA
Source: RNAcentral
UACAGAGGUCUCAAGCGUUGUUCGGAUUCAUUGGGCGUAAAGGGCGCGUAGGCGGCGGGGUAAGUCUGGUGUGAAAUCUCGGAGCUCAACUCCGAAAUUGCACUGGAUACUGCUCUGCUUGAGGGUUGGAGAGGAGAUCGGAAUUCACGGUGUAGCAGUGAAAUGCGUAGAUAUCGUGAGGAAGACCAGUGGCGAAGGCGGAUCUCUGGACAAAUCCUGACGCUGAGGCACGAAGGUCAGGGGAGCAAACGGG